RNAcentral lists this transfer RNA (73 nucleotides) under Polyangium spumosum. It matches the Rfam family "tRNA". Rfam says of the family: Transfer RNA (tRNA) molecules are approximately 80 nucleotides in length. The record is from Rfam by way of RNAcentral. Lineage: Bacteria; Pseudomonadati; Myxococcota; Polyangiales; Polyangiaceae.
GCUCGGGUGGCGAAAUGGCAAACGCGGCCGGUUCAAACCCGGUUCAUUGGGGGUUCGACUCCCUCUCCGAGCA